Long non-coding RNA from Rhipicephalus sanguineus (brown dog tick), 175 nucleotides. RefSeq lists it as uncharacterized. The record is from RefSeq and is a predicted model, not a curated record. The transcript has 3 exons. Lineage: Eukaryota; Metazoa; Arthropoda; Arachnida; Ixodida; Ixodidae.
GCGCACCUUACCGUGGACAACAUCUUGCAAGUCCUAUCGGAAAGAGGCAUUGACUGGCGCCGCAUCAUCGAGGACCCACAGUACGCGCCAAAGAUAUUAUCCGCCCUGUCGGAUGAUGAGAGUGAGGAGGACGAGGAGAGUGAGGAAGACGAAAGCGGAAGCGAAGAGGAGGGAG